AAGUCUGCUCUCAGGUAUUGCCAAGCCACCAAAGGAUUUGGGAAGCUUUCCUUGCUGUUCCCUGAUAUGCCUAUAAGCUUUUCUUUGCAAGUCUGGAAGUCAGCACCACAAUUCACGUUGAUAACGAAGCAGAUUCUACCAGCAGAAUUAAGUAAGAGCCUAAAUAAGAACCAGAAUGUUCUUACACUCGGAAUGUCAUUCAUCAUAAAGCUGAAAAAUGAGCAAUGUCCCACACUUCUCCUGCAUGCAGAAGGGACAAACAGGAGACAGAGCUUGCUGUCUGGCUGCCAAGGAUGGGACCUGGCUGAACAACCCAUCUCUGCCCCCAGAAAAAGCCCACCUGAGCACCCGAGAAACGUGAGCAAUCCUGCAUGGCGCUGAUGGAGUUCUCAGCCUACGUGUCACCCAAGCUGAACUGCAAAGCACGGCUGCCUGCCCUAGUUAUCAAAUGACCUGAAAUUCAGCACGAUCAUCUGCCACARCAGCUGGUUCACUGACGAUGAGAGCAGCUCCUGCCCCGCUGCUGAACCAGAGCCAGCCGGAGCUCAGGACCCGGCAUACACAGCCGCCCACACCGAGAUGCUGCUCCCAUCCCCCUGCAUGGCACGGCCUCAAAAUGUCUCUGUUCUUCGAAUUCUGCACACUGACUGCUUCCUCCACAUAUUUAUUUUUCAUCUGAAUCAUUAAAAAGAGAUUUCAGAGACCUAGUACUUCAAAGAGGGGAAAAAUCAUGAAACAUCCUUCCCAAGGAAUUAAAAUGAAGGUACUGACAAAUGCAUGAAUGGAGUUGCUCCCUGUCCUAGACAGAUCAUAAUCUAGGCAGCUCAGCUGCGAGAGAAAGGYGCAGGUGACCAGAGAGGUCAGCUGAGUUAGCAAGUGGAGAAAGCCUCUCAUGCAAGAAGCUUUAACACAGGUCGUUCAGAAGAAAAACCUGCAUGCUAUGAUCAUCUCACAUCCUGCUCUCACUCUUCAGUUGGAAUAGAUCCCAUUUUAUAAACCUGUUAGUAUCAACAGAUUUGSCUUCCACCAAAUGUGUAAAUCAGAGGUGACUGGACAAGGUCAGUGCAUUGCACAGAGGCCAUCAAAGAGACUCAGACCUGCAAGAGUUACAACAUACAGCAUCUGAAAUUCACACAUGAAAAAAAUUUUAUUUCUGGCUGCAGUGCAACAAUUCAGAAUUAAGAUUAGUUAACUKCUCCUGGAUGUACAAAUAUUCCAUCCUACUGUGGUCCCUUCCAACUUUACCCUGUGGUUCUCUCAUUCUGUGAUCCCCUCUUUCAAUCCUCCCAAUAAAAGCAAUGAUACCUGCUUUAGCAACCAUGUAGCUGCCUAAUUAAUAGUUAUCAUUACUAUAUUUUAAAUAACAAUARUUUAAAGAUAUAAACAGGGGAGGGCGACAUGCAGUUAUUUUUAGUUUGAAAAAGUGACACCRAAAAACCCAGACCAUGAAGGCAGGGCUUGGUACGCUGAGUGCCUUGUAAACACCAUUAUUCACRUGAUUUUUAAUUCCAGUAAGUAAUUUGGCUGAUGGCAGCCCAAAUCAUCCCUUCCAGA
Long non-coding RNA from Malurus melanocephalus (red-backed fairy wren), 1554 nucleotides. RefSeq lists it as uncharacterized. The record is from RefSeq and is a predicted model, not a curated record. Lineage: Eukaryota; Metazoa; Chordata; Aves; Passeriformes; Maluridae. The transcript has 3 exons.